Molecule: non-coding RNA, 99 nt
Organism: Armillaria borealis
Lineage: Eukaryota; Fungi; Basidiomycota; Agaricomycetes; Agaricales; Physalacriaceae
Source: the annotation of a GenBank genome assembly
GCCAGUAUGGUAUAGUGGUUAGCAUAUGCACUUGGGUUAUGUUAUGCGAUAUUAUUAAAAAUCUUUUUAAGAUCUUAGGUUCAAUUUCUAGAACUGCUG